AACGUAGGUUCCGAGCGUUAUCCGGAUUUACUGGGCGUAAAGCGCGUUCAGGCGGUUUGGCAAGUCGGGCAUGAAAUCUCUCGGCUCAACCGGGAGAGGUUGUCCGAUACUGCUGGACUUGAGGGCAGUAGAGGGUGGUGGAAUUCCGGGUGUAGUGGUGAAAUGCGUAGAUAUCUGGAGGAACACCGGUGGCGAAGGCGGCAUCCUGGACCGACACUGACACUGAGGAGCGAAAGCCAGGGGAGCAAACGGG
This 253-nucleotide ribosomal RNA is filed under the name uncultured bacterium. RNAcentral describes it as "partial 16S ribosomal RNA". It matches the Rfam family "Bacterial small subunit ribosomal RNA", at positions 524 to 776 of the family's 1533-position model. The record is from RNAcentral.